CCGAUGCUAAUCUGCCUCCCGCUCCCUUCCACUUGCUUUGUGUUUCACUAAAAAUAUCCCACGGAGGAAGUUUCUGCUGCGGGGUGGAUGCUCUCCUCCAGGGAGGGGCUUCCUGCACCACCCCACGUGAAAACACCCCCCGGUGAGCUCCUCGCCGGGACCCAAAGCCCCACCAGGCUGCUGGGGGGCUCCUGU
Oxyura jamaicensis (ruddy duck) is the source of this 195-nucleotide long non-coding RNA. RefSeq lists it as uncharacterized. The record is from RefSeq and is a predicted model, not a curated record. NCBI's taxonomy places the organism in Eukaryota, Metazoa, Chordata, Aves, Anseriformes, Anatidae. The transcript is spliced from 3 exons.